UAGUCCACGCCGUAAACGAUGAUUACUCGCUGUAGGCGAUACACAGUCUGUGGCUAAGCGAAAGUUUUAAGUAAUCCACCUGGGGAGUACAAUCGCAAGAUUGAAACUCAAAGGAAUUGACGGGGGCCCGCACAAGCGGAGGAACAUGUGGUUUAAUUCGAUGAUACGCGAGGAACCUUACCUGGACUUAAAUGUGCGUUGCAUAGAUCAGAGAUGGUCUUUUCUUCGGACUACGUACAAGGUGCUGCAUGGUUGCCGUCAGCUCGUGCCGUGAGGUGUCGGGUUAAGUCCCAUAACGAGCGCAACCCUUAUCCUUAGUUGCCAGCGGAUCAUGCCGGGGACUCUGAGGAGACUGCCACCGUAAGGUGUGAGGAAGGUGGGGAUGACGUCAAAUCAGCACGGCCCUUAUGUCCAGGGCUACACACGUGUUACAAUGGACGGUACAAAGAGAAGCGAGCGCGCGAGUGUUAGCAAAUCUCAAAAAGUGCAUCUCAGUCCGGAUUGG
Molecule: ribosomal RNA, 505 nt
Filed under: uncultured bacterium
Lineage: Bacteria
Description: bacterial SSU rRNA
Rfam family: Bacterial small subunit ribosomal RNA
Source: RNAcentral